CUCCUCAAUGUUCUGGGCGACACGCGCACUACAAUGUCAGUGAGAACAAGAAUCCCGACCAUUUGAUCGGACCCACUUGAUUCAAAAGAGGGGGGAAACACCGGAAUCACAUCGACCCACUUGGGACCGAGUAUUGCAAUUAUUGGUCGCGCAACGAGGAAUGUCUCGUAGGCGCAGCUCAUCAAACUGUGCCGAUUACGUCCCUGCCAUUUGUACACACCGCCCGUCGUUGUUUCCGAUGAUGGUGCAAUACAGGUGAUUGGACUAGCGGGCCUUCGGUCUGCUGGAAAUUUCACCGAUAUUUCUUCAAUAGAGGAAGCAAAAGUCGUAACA
Molecule: ribosomal RNA, 333 nt
Filed under: uncultured eukaryote
Lineage: Eukaryota
Description: partial 18S ribosomal RNA
Rfam family: Eukaryotic small subunit ribosomal RNA
Source: RNAcentral